CCUACGGGAGGCAGCAGUGAGGGAUAUUGCGCAAUGGGCGAAAGCCUGACGCAGCGACGCCGCGUGGGCGAGGAAGGCCUUCGGGUUGUAAAGCCCUUUUGGCAGGGAAGAGCAAGGACUGUACCUGCAGAACAAGUCACGGCUAACUACGUGCCAGCAGCCGCGGUAAUACGUAGGGGGCGAGCGUUGUCCGAGGUCACUGGGCGUAAAGCGCGCGUAGGCGGGCCACUAAGUCGGAUGUGAAAUCUCCACGGCUCAACCGGGAAAGUGCAUCCGAUACUGGUGGUCUGGAGGGGUGGAGAGGGAAGUGGAAUUCCUGGUGUAGCGGUGAAAUGCGUAGAUAUCAGGAGGAACACCCGUGGCGAAGGCGGCUUCCUGGCCAUGGCCUGACGCUGAGGUGCGAAAGCCAGGGGAGCGAACGGGAUUAGAUACCCGG
Molecule: ribosomal RNA, 436 nt
Filed under: uncultured bacterium
Lineage: Bacteria
Description: partial 16S ribosomal RNA
Rfam family: Bacterial small subunit ribosomal RNA
Source: RNAcentral